This 72-nucleotide transfer RNA is filed under the name Camelus bactrianus (Bactrian camel). It matches the Rfam family "tRNA". Rfam says of the family: Transfer RNA (tRNA) molecules are approximately 80 nucleotides in length. Their secondary structure includes four short double-helical elements and three loops (D, anti-codon, and T loops). The record is from Rfam by way of RNAcentral. Lineage: Eukaryota; Metazoa; Chordata; Mammalia; Artiodactyla; Camelidae. RNAcentral also lists the same sequence under 1 other name.
GAGGGUAUAGCUCAGUAGUAGAGUGUGUGCUUGGCAUGCAGAAGGUCCUAGGUUCAAUCUCCAGUACCUCCA